ACGCUGCGGGCGUGCUUUACACCAUGCAAAGUCGACGAAGAGCGAUGAAGCUUGCUUCUAUCAGUUUAAUGGCGACGGGUGAGUAACGCGUAUCAACCCUGCCCUUCAGAGGGGGACAACAGUUGGAAACGACUGCUAAUACCGCAUACGAUCUGACCUCGGCAUCGAGGAUAGAUGAAAGGUGGCCUCUACAUGUAAGCUAUCACUGAAGGAGGGGAUUGCGUCUGAUUAGCUAGUUGGAGGGGUAACGGCCCACCAAGGCGAUGAUCAGUAGCCGGUCUGAGAGGAUGAACGGCCACAUUGGGACUGAGACACGGCCCAGACUCCUACGGGAGGCAGCAGUGGGGGAUCUUCCGCAAUGGACGAAAGUCUGACGGAGCAGCGCCGCGUGAGUGAUGACGGCCUUCGGGUUGUAAAGCUCUGUUAAUCGGGACGAAAGGCCUUUUUGCGAAUAGUGAGAAGGAUUGACGGUACCGGAAUAGAAAGCCACGGCUA
RNAcentral lists this ribosomal RNA (495 nucleotides) under Veillonella sp. oral taxon D89. RNAcentral describes it as "bacterial SSU rRNA". It matches the Rfam family "Bacterial small subunit ribosomal RNA", at positions 33 to 499 of the family's 1533-position model. Lineage: Bacteria; Bacillati; Bacillota; Negativicutes; Veillonellales; Veillonellaceae. The record is from RNAcentral.